This 382-nucleotide ribosomal RNA is filed under the name uncultured bacterium. RNAcentral describes it as "bacterial SSU rRNA". It matches the Rfam family "Bacterial small subunit ribosomal RNA", at positions 28 to 413 of the family's 1533-position model. The record is from RNAcentral.
GAUGAACGCUGGCGGCGUGCUUAACACAUGCAAGUCGAACGUGAGAGGUAGCAAUAUCUUGAAAGUGGCGAACGGGUGAGUAACACGUAGGUAACCUGCCUCGGAGUGGGGGAUAACAGUUAGAAAUGACUGCUAAUACCGCAUGAAUCCAUGGAUUAGGGAUAAUCGAUGGAGAAAACUCUGGUGCUUCGAGAGGGGCCUGCGGCCGAUUAGCUAGUUGGUGGGGUAAAGGCCUACCAAGGCGACGAUCGGUAGCUGGUCUGAGAGGACGAUCAGCCACACGGGAACUGAGACACGGUCCCGACUCCUACGGGGGGCAGCAGUGAGGAAUAUUGGGCAAUGGGCGGAAGCCUGACCCAGCAACGCCGCGUGGAGGAAUGAA